GACGAACGCUGGCGGCGUGCUUAACACAUGCAAGUCGAACGGAAAGGCCCUGCUUUUGUGGGGUGCUCGAGUGGCGAACGGGUGAGUAACACGUGAGUAACCUGCCCUUGACUUUGGGAUAACUUCAGGAAACUGGGGCUAAUACCGGAUAGGAGCUCCUGCUGCAUGGUGGGGGUUGGAAAGUUUCGGCGGUUGGGGAUGGACUCGCGGCUUAUCAGCUUGUUGGUGGGGUAGUGGCUUACCAAGGCAUUGACGGGUAGCCGGCCUGGGAGGGUGACCGGCCACAUUGGGACUGAGAUACGGCCCAGACUCCUACGGGAGGCAGCAGUGGGGAAUAGUGCACAAUGGGCGGAAGCCUGAUGCAGCAACGCCGCGUGCGGGAUGACGGCCUUCGGGUAGUAAACCGCUUUCGCCUGUGACGAAGCGUGAGUGACGGUAAUGGGUAAAGAAGCACCGGCUAACUACGU
This 467-nucleotide ribosomal RNA is filed under the name uncultured bacterium. RNAcentral describes it as "partial 16S ribosomal RNA". It matches the Rfam family "Bacterial small subunit ribosomal RNA", at positions 28 to 506 of the family's 1533-position model. The record is from RNAcentral.